RNAcentral lists this ribosomal RNA (680 nucleotides) under Bacillus cereus. RNAcentral describes it as "bacterial SSU rRNA". It matches the Rfam family "Bacterial small subunit ribosomal RNA", at positions 1 to 660 of the family's 1533-position model. Lineage: Bacteria; Bacillati; Bacillota; Bacilli; Caryophanales; Bacillaceae. The record is from RNAcentral.
UUUAUUGGAGAGUUUGAUCCUGGCUCAGGAUGAACGCUGGCGGCGUGCCUAAUACAUGCAAGUCGAGCGAAUGGAUUAAGAGCUUGCUCUUAUGAAGUUAGCGGCGGACGGGUGAGUAACACGUGGGUAACCUGCCCAUAAGACUGGGAUAACUCCGGGAAACCGGGGCUAAUACCGGAUAACAUUUUGAACCGCAUGGUUCGAAAUUGAAAGGCGGCUUCGGCUGUCACUUAUGGAUGGACCCGCGUCGCAUUAGCUAGUUGGUGAGGUAACGGCUCACCAAGGCAACGAUGCGUAGCCGACCUGAGAGGGUGAUCGGCCACACUGGGACUGAGACACGGCCCAGACUCCUACGGGAGGCAGCAGUAGGGAAUCUUCCGCAAUGGACGAAAGUCUGACGGAGCAACGCCGCGUGAGUGAUGAAGGCUUUCGGGUCGUAAAACUCUGUUGUUAGGGAAGAACAAGUGCUAGUUGAAUAAGCUGGCACCUUGACGGUACCUAACCAGAAAGCCACGGCUAACUACGUGCCAGCAGCCGCGGUAAUACGUAGGUGGCAAGCGUUAUCCGGAAUUAUUGGGCGUAAAGCGCGCGCAGGUGGUUUCUUAAGUCUGAUGUGAAAGCCCACGGCUCAACCGUGGAGGGUCAUUGGAAACUGGGAGACUUGAGUGCAGAAGAGGAAA